CUAAUUAGGAGCAAUUCAAAUGAAAUUAAUAUUGUACUCUACCUUUCUAGUUUCACGUGAAAUUUGAAUUUAAAGUUAUGUACACAGAGUUUCUACACACAUUCAUGUAACUUGUUUGUCACUGGACAUCCAUUCUUUAUGCGUUUCUGAAGAACAACAUGCAUUUUUUAUUAUUAUUCUAAUUCCUUGCUAGCUUAUAGAUGAAAGAAACCUGUAAAACACUAUUGUUCUCCUUCACAUGUUAAUUGGGUUUGUUCUUUUCUGUGAUUAUGCCUAUGACUUUUAAUUUGCACUGGCAUUUGCCAGCUCUAUAAGAAAGUAUGUAUGAGGUCUUCAGCUGGAGAGGAGGUAUUUCACAGGUGUCCUGACAGAUUAAUAAACAAAUAAAACCAAUAUCCAACUUUUGUGUAGUAAAAGGAAUCUGUAAAUCAGUACAUUGUCUGCAGUGGGCCUCUUAUUAGUAUGGGAAGUAAAAGAAUUAGAACCAUAUUUUUUGGAACUAGCUUCAUCCUCAAACUACGGUCCAACCAAGCCCCAAGGCAUGUGUCCGUUUUCAAUAAAUGUAAUACCAUAUUGUUAUAUUCCAUGAUUAAAUCCAUGGGGGAACAGACAGUGACAAAACUGGAUGAAGAAUCUUUUUUACACUCCAAUGAUUUUUUUAUUUUUUUUUUUUAAUGGGUAGGCAGAAAACUAUGUUUUAUUCCAUUCUGCAUGAGACCAUGUUUAGGAAAUAUCCUGAAAAGACUGAUCUUUCAUUGGUAGUGAAAAGGAGAGAACACCUCCAACACGUGUGAUGCCUUACUGGAGAGCAGUCUGUCAUCUGUCAGACAGUGAAAUCCAUGUUGUCACUGAGUAACUAAAGGUCAGCAUUUAGCUGAGCUAGGAGAAUAAUUCAGAGCAAAUCAACUAUUAGGCAAAUGUUGCCUCUUUUUUGCUUACAAGUUGUCUGCAAAUAGAUCACAAUUUUCUCAAAUAUAUUCAUUAUUCAGAAUUAUUUCCUGAAUGAUUCUGGUGUAUAAUUAUUGGUCUGUUCACAAGCCUUUCAUUUUGAGUAGUCGGUUUUCAAGCUGUUCUAAUUGGACAGAUGGAUCACAUGGUGUCUUUCAGUGCUUUGAUAGGGUAAAUGUAACUCUUCAAUUUCACUUUCAGGUGGAAUCAUCUCAACUACGAAGUUAGAGUUUAAUGUCUACUGCUAUCCUGUUAUAUGUUCUUGUAAUUUAUGUGAAGUUUUACAUGUAAAUCAACACAUCCAGAU
Molecule: long non-coding RNA, 1255 nt
Filed under: Gallus gallus (chicken)
Lineage: Eukaryota; Metazoa; Chordata; Aves; Galliformes; Phasianidae
Description: lncRNA (ENSGALG00010018234.1)
Source: RNAcentral